This 453-nucleotide ribosomal RNA is filed under the name uncultured bacterium. RNAcentral's name for it is "bacterial SSU rRNA". It matches the Rfam family "Bacterial small subunit ribosomal RNA", at positions 340 to 786 of the family's 1533-position model. The record is from RNAcentral.
UACGGAAGGCAGCAGUGGGGAAUAUUGCACAAUGGGCGCAAGCCUGAUGCAGCCAUGCCGCGUGUAUGAAGAAGGCCUUCGGGUUGUAAAGUACUUUCAGUCGUGAGGAAGGUGUUAAGGUUAAUAACCUUAGCAAUUGACGUUAGCGACAGAAGAAGCACCGGCUAACUCCGUGCCAGCAGCCGCGGUAAUACGGAGGGUGCGAGCGUUAAUCGGAAUUACUGGGCGUAAAGGGCACGCAGGCGGUUAAUUAAGUUGGAUGUGAAAUCCCCGGGCUUAACCUGGGAAUGGCAUUCAAGACUGGUUAGCUAGAGUCUUGUAGAGGGGGUAGAAUUCCAUGUGUAGCGGUGAAAUGCGUAGAGAUGUGGAGGAAUACCGGUGGCGAAGGCGGCCCCUGGGACAAAGGCUGACGCUCAUGUGCGAAAGCGUGGGGAGCAAACAGGAUUAGAUACC